GGGGGAGUGAGUUAAGGGCGAUGCGCAUGGUCUCCAAAACCAUGAAUCCGGGUUCGAAUCCCGGCUCCCCCG
This 72-nucleotide transfer RNA is filed under the name Thermoleophilaceae bacterium. Its description in RNAcentral is "tRNA-Trp". It matches the Rfam family "tRNA". Rfam says of the family: Transfer RNA (tRNA) molecules are approximately 80 nucleotides in length. Lineage: Bacteria; Bacillati; Actinomycetota; Thermoleophilia; Thermoleophilales; Thermoleophilaceae. The record is from RNAcentral.